ACGCUGCGUACAUACGUACAUACAUACAUACGUACAUACAUACGUACAUACGCGCGAAAAGUCGCAUAUCAACGUACAGACAGAUAGACAGACAGAUAGACAGACAGGUAGAUAGACAGACAUGGGACACUGCCCCACUCCAAGGUCGCACUGCCUACCCCUACCUGCAGUAUGAUGAUCAGAAAGGUCGGGGUGGUGAUCAUCACCCAGAUGCGACCGCAGCUCAGCACGGGCCGACC
RNAcentral lists this long non-coding RNA (239 nucleotides) under Volvox carteri. Its description in RNAcentral is "long non-coding RNA (VCAR_LNC000289)". The record is from RNAcentral. Lineage: Eukaryota; Viridiplantae; Chlorophyta; Chlorophyceae; Chlamydomonadales; Volvocaceae.